RNAcentral lists this ribosomal RNA (331 nucleotides) under uncultured eukaryote. RNAcentral describes it as "partial 18S ribosomal RNA". It matches the Rfam family "Eukaryotic small subunit ribosomal RNA", at positions 1470 to 1796 of the family's 1831-position model. The record is from RNAcentral.
CCCUUAGAUGUUCUGGGCUGCACGCGCGCUACACUGAAGCGUUCAACGAGUAUUUCACCUUGCCCGGGAGGGUUGGGUAAUCUUUUUAAAACGCUUCGUGAUGGGGAUAGAUUAUUGCAAUUAUUAAUCUUCAACGAGGAAUUCCUAGUAAGCGCGAGUCAUCAGCUCGUGCUGAUUACGUCCCUGCCCUUUGUACACACCGCCCGUCGCUACUACAGAGUGCCCGUGUCCAAGAAACGGUCGGACCUGUGCGGCCUCUCCGGGCGACCGGAGGGCCGUUACGGGGAAGACCCUUUAUUUGACGCGGGUCGAUGAAGUAAAAGUCGUAACA